Molecule: ribosomal RNA, 1406 nt
Filed under: Palaemon debilis
Lineage: Eukaryota; Metazoa; Arthropoda; Malacostraca; Decapoda; Palaemonidae
Description: SSU rRNA
Rfam family: Eukaryotic small subunit ribosomal RNA
Source: RNAcentral
AGGCACGCAAAUUACCCAAUCCCAGCUCUGGGAGGUAGUGACGAAAAAUAACAAUGCGGGACUCAUCCGAGUCUGCGUAAUUGGAAUGAGCACACCAUUAAAUCCUUUAGCAACAACCAAUUGGAGGGCAAGUCUGGUGCCAGCAGCCGCGGUAAUUCCAGCUCCAAUAGCGUAUAUUAAAGUUGUUGCGGUUAAAAAGCUCGUAGUUCGAGCUCAGUUCCGGACUGGCCGGGGAGGUCACCGCCCGGUGCUUCCCCGUCAGGCUCCGAACAGCUUCCGUGAGUGGAAGCCAAGCCGGUUCUGCCGGGGUGCUCUUCACCGAGUGUCCCGUGCGGCCGGCCAGUUCACCUUGAAUAAAUGAGAGUGCUCAAAGCAGGCUACUCUCGAAUACAAUGCCCGAAUGUUACCUGCAUGGAAUGAUGGAAGAUGAUCUCGGUUCCAUUUUCUUGGUGGUGGGAGCCAGAGGUAAUGAUAAAGAGGGACUGUCGGGGGCAUCCGUACUACGACGCGAGAGGUGAAAUUCAGUGACCGUCGUAGGACGAACAACAGCGAAAGCAUUUGCCAAGAAUGUUUUCKUUGAUCAAGAACGAAAGUUAGAGGAUCGAAGGCGAUCAGAUACCGCCCUAGUUCUAACCCUAAACGAUGCUGACCAGCAAUUCGCGGUCGUUAUUCCCAUGACGUGGCGAGACGCCCCCGGGAAACCUCAAGUCUUUGAGUUCCGGGGGUAGUAUGGUUGCAAAACUGAAACUUAAAGGAAUUGACGGAAGGGCACCACCAGGAGUGGAGCCUGCGGCUUAAUUUGACUCAACACGGGAAACCUCACCAGGCCCGGACACCAGAAGGAUUGACAGAUUAAGAGCUCUUUCUCGAUUUGGUGGGUGGUGGUGCAUGGCCGUUCUUAGUUGGUGGAGUGAUUUGUCUGGUUAAUUCCGGUAACGAACGAGACUCUGGCCUACUAAAUAGUGGACGGGCGUUUUGGUGCAUGGGCCCCGUUCGACACAGUCUUCUUAGAGGGAUGAGCAGCGAGUAUAGCUGCAGGAGAUUGAGCAAUAACAGGUCUGUGAUGCCCUUAGAUGUCCUGGGCCGCACGCGCGCUACACUGAAUGGGUUAGCGGGUUGUCCUUCUCCGAGAGGAGCGGGAAAUCGCGUGAAAACCAUUCGUGAUAGGGAUUGGGGCUUGCAAUUGUUUCCCAUGAACGAGGAAUUCCCAGUAAGCGCAAGUCAUCAGCUUGCGUUGAUUAAGUCCCUGCCCUUUGUACACACCGCCCGUCGCUACUACCGAUUGAAUGAUUUAGUGAGGCCUUCGGACUGGCGGUCUUGGACUGGGGCGGCGGGUCUCUCCCAGCAAUGGGGUUCCGCCGACUCGCCUGGACGUGCCGGAAAGAUGUCCAAACUUAUCAUUAGAG